RNAcentral lists this ribosomal RNA (433 nucleotides) under uncultured bacterium. RNAcentral's name for it is "partial 16S ribosomal RNA". It matches the Rfam family "Bacterial small subunit ribosomal RNA", at positions 29 to 507 of the family's 1533-position model. The record is from RNAcentral.
AACGAACGCUGGCGGCAUGCCUAACACAUGCAAGUCGAACGAGACCUUCGGGUCUAGUGGCGCACGGGUGCGUAACGCGUGGGAACCUGCCCUUAGGUUCGGAAUAACUCCCCGAAAGGGGUGCUAAUACCGGAUAAUGUCUUCGGACCAAAGAUUUAUCGCCUUUGGAUGGGCCCGCGUUGGAUUAGCUAGUUGGUAGGGUAAAAGCCUACCAAGGCGACGAUCCAUAGCUGGUCUGAGAGGAUGAUCAGCCACACUGGGACUGAGACACGGCCCAGACUCCGACGGGAGGCAGCAGUGGGGAAUAUUGGACAAUGGGCGAAAGCCUAAUCCAGCAAUGCCGCGUGAGUGAUGAAGGCCUUAGGAUUGUAAAGCUCUUUUACCCGGGAUGAUAAUGACAGUACCGGGAGAAUAAGCUCCGGCUAACUCCGUG